UACACAAACACACACACACACACAUACACUCUUCAUUAAACUACAUUUUAAAGUAGAUAGAAGCAAAUAAAGUAAAUAAAAUAAAAAAUAGGACCAUACUUAUAAAUUAGCAUCCCACAGAAUUAAUAUAAGUAGAACUAAAUAAUAUUUUCAAAAAAUUUAACAGAAUAUAAACACAUCAAGAAUUUACAGUUCUGGCAGAAAGAAAAUGGGAAUCAAAUACUAAAUUUGAUAAAUAAUUUAUGUUUAAUAUAAAGUACAAUAGAUUGAUAUAUAUGUAUGAAGGUUUUGUAUGAGAGCAAUUUGCAGUGGAACUCCCAUCAUAUUCCCACAUCUUUUUUUAAAUAUUUUUUUUAGUUGUUGACGGAUCUUUAUUUUAUUCAUUUAUUUAUAUGUGGUGCAGAGAAUCAAACCCAUUGCCUCACACAUGUCAGACAAGCGCUCUACAAAUGAGCCCAAUCCCAGCUCUAUCCUCCCACAUCUUAGCCACAGGCACUCAGCACUCUACCACCUCGUUCUGAAAUUUAAAGUCAUAUUCAAAUAAUGAUUCUCUAUUUCUUGUGUGUGCAUUAUUACACAACACUUAAUGAUUUCCAAGUAUGUGGAAAUGAGAGUUUGCAUAACUCAAUGAGUUAAGCACAAAAUUGGGAAAGGACACACACACACACACACGAGAUUGCCCACCAGACUCUAUUCACGAGGAUAUAUUAGACGGCAAUUUUUGCUUAUAUCAACAUCCAUGAGGUACGACCUUCUGGUAGUAUACACAUACUUUCUGUUAUAUGAAAUUAUGAUUAUUUUUCAUUGUUGGUGCUUUCUUGGUCUUCUCCCAGUUUCUCUAUGUAAGCCCAUCAUUUUCCAAUUUUGAGUUAGGAUUAUUCAAGAUGCUCAGGUAGAUGUUUUAUACUGCAGGAAUCAUUGUCCAGCCGUCGGAAACCUCAGACUAUUCCUCACAUCCCUUUUGCUCCUGAGUUCUCUCCUGUCAUCUGCAUCAUCCACCUUCAUGCUGAAGGCUGCUUCCUAGGUCCAGCACCCAGCAGUCUCCCCAACACUCUCAUCCCAUUCCUGGAGCCCAUGGCUUCCUGACUUAUAGACAUUUAGAUGCAACAUUCUCCAGUAAUUUUCUGAGAAAUAGGGGUACUGGUAUAAUAUUUUGGCAAAUGUGCAGGUCUGAAAUACACCUAUUCUAUGAAAUAACAAGAUAUUAGUUACUUGUAAGAACUCUGGUGCUGCUCUGGUGUUUCACAUAAGUCAAGGGAUAUUUCUCUGAAUGUUGUAAUGAAUUCUUCAUCCCUUGUGAUAUGCAAUGCUACAACCCUGUGUUUUGGGUGGAUGCUUUUAUUUCACUCUCUCUGAUGGAUGAUUGGAAGAAUUUUCUACUAAGAUGGCAAAAUAUGAAAGUCUUUACUCCACAGUUCUUCCCUCCCUUGAGAGCACAUGACUUUUCUGAUGUUGAAGGAAGAGCUCAGAUUCUCCAAAGCUUCCUUUCAGCCCCACACCUCAGUCUUUCUUUGCCACUACAUAAGAUCCCUUAGGAAAUGGAUUCUGAGGCUCGGUAUGUUCCCUUACAGUUCUUUUCCUACAAAGAAAAUAUUUGUCACCUGAUGAGUGAAGAUGUGAAAAGAAUGAUUUAAUGCUAUUAGCUGACAAGGGAUUUGCCUGAGCAGAAAAGCCUCCCUUUUCAACCUCACUCUCCCUUCAUUGAUUCCUGUUAUUUCCAAACAAGAGAAUCUUGUUGGAGUUUUAAGAACAGAGAUUGCUUUUCUUUCUUCAUAAAUUUUCCUCUUCUAAUAUUCAGGUUACCAGACUAUCCUCCUUUUAGAUUCCAUCACCACACUUGCAUCUGCCUUCUAUGAUUAAGAAACUUGGUGAAGAUUAUAUAAAGUGUUUAUUGUUCCUGUCCUCUCUUCCUUGAAAGAGAAUGAGUCUAACAAAUAAUUGUGUUGCCAUCCUUUAGUGGAAUCAUCACACAAGACUCAAAAAAGUAUGCUUAUUGCUACUGCAUGAACAAAUUCCUUUAAAGGUGAUUUUUAAGUGGUAUUGAUAAAACAUCAAAUUUUUGACCACCCCUCAAGAAAGGUUCUUACUCCAUGAAACACAAGUUUUAUGGAAGCAGUCUGUUGAAAUGAUGAAUUAAAAAAUUAGGAACAGAUCUGCCAAAAUUAAAAUACCUUUCUGACAUAUAUACAUGAAUAGAAUACUUCCAAGUGAGGAAUCAUCUCAGGAAGCUUCAUUACAUUCUAGGAUUUCCACCAAGGCUUCAAGAAGGAGUUUCCUUUUCCCUACCCCAGAAUUAGAAUUAGCAGAAUGAGGAGAGGCAUCUUCAAGAGGGAGGGCGGGGGCCGUCUGCAGGGUCUGGC
Molecule: long non-coding RNA, 2360 nt
Filed under: Marmota monax (woodchuck)
Lineage: Eukaryota; Metazoa; Chordata; Mammalia; Rodentia; Sciuridae
Source: RNAcentral